RNAcentral lists this long non-coding RNA (583 nucleotides) under Calidris pygmaea (Spoon-billed sandpiper). RNAcentral's name for it is "lncRNA (ENSCPGG00000017564.1)". Lineage: Eukaryota; Metazoa; Chordata; Aves; Charadriiformes; Scolopacidae. The record is from RNAcentral.
UCUCUGUUUUUGUGGAAGACAGAAAGAAGAGUAAUAAAAAAAAAGUAUUUCAUUUACCUAUAUGUAAUUCACGGAUAUUUUUCAAUGCAGGUUUAUCAAUAUACAGUCCGUGCUGGUUUCGUAUGUGACAAGGAGGCAAGCAAACAGUGGAGAACGGCAGUAGAUAUCAUGUAGAUAAGCAAGAAAGAAAAAUUAAGGACAAAAAGACAGACCAGUUUCUAAAAAUUCAGAUUGUGCACUUCAAAAUAAUACCAUAAAGGCUCAUCAUUUCAAUCCAUUAUUGAUUACACCUUGGGGACUUUCCACCGAUUCCACUUGAUGCUGCUUUUAAAAUGAAUUUUCUGGAGUCUACUCGGACACUGAUCUUUCCAUGGAAAUAACAGAAAAUUCCAAGAAAUGGAAGCCGCUCAUAGUAAAAGAAGGAAAGCUGAGUAUCAUCAGGGUUAAUAGCUCCUAUUUGAGAUCCAUGAAUGAUUACAGAGGUUUUUUCCUAAAUCGAACUUUCAAGAUUCAUUAAUAAUAUGCUGCCUCUCUGGGACAUAGGUGUGCUCAUGGUACGAAGGCUAUUUAUUCAUCGCAUGGA